UGGGGCUUGCUGCAUUAUUUUCCACCUUCUACACCUGCACGCUCAAAUUAAUCUCAAGGUGCACCGUAGGAAUAAACCCUGAGAGAGGCACCAAGGAUGGACAGGGCAAAGUCUUCUCAAAGAAAACUGGUAAAUUCACGAGCUACAAGACAAGACUACAACCGUAUAUCCACAUGUAUCCACUCUGCUGAUGGGACUCAUGGACUUGAGUGGGACUUCAUUUAAAAUGUCAGCGGGCUACCAAGGCUGGAUUGAGAGAACUGGUGUCUUUGAGUGGGCCAUAAGUCAUUCACUAACUCACUCCCCCAUUAUCGCCCAAUACUUGGACUUCCACACUUAUCCAUGUGCCUUGUUAGAGCCUGAAUAUUCAUACUUGGACAUGAUGUCACAUGUCUGGUGGUGUUGGUGCUCAUUAUGAUAUAAGGCAAAAUAUUACUUGAGAGUUUUGUUUUAACUCUAUGAUAUAGCUCAACUCUCUGUAACUGUUCCACAAAGUAAGGUUAGUAAGAUUGACAGAUGUCUUCAGAAAUGCUAUUUCUUCUGAAAUUUGGUUUGUUAUCUGUGUCAGGUUUUUGUUGGCGCUGUGUUGAACUUCAUAUGAAAAUAAAAAGUA
Molecule: long non-coding RNA, 613 nt
Organism: Sebastes umbrosus (honeycomb rockfish)
Lineage: Eukaryota; Metazoa; Chordata; Actinopteri; Perciformes; Sebastidae
Exons: 3
Source: RefSeq, a predicted model, not a curated record